This 20629-nucleotide long non-coding RNA is filed under the name Populus tremula. RNAcentral describes it as "long non-coding RNA (PTRE_LNC002822)". Lineage: Eukaryota; Viridiplantae; Streptophyta; Magnoliopsida; Malpighiales; Salicaceae. The record is from RNAcentral.
UCGGUAGCAGUGGAUUCUCCGGCCAUGUUUCCUCGAUGUAUUCAAGGAUAACAAGAGACUCCGCAAUCGGCUUGCCACCAUGGACGAGUACAGGGAUUUUCUUGUAAACUGGGUUAUACUUCAAUAGCAGUUCACUUUUAUUGGUGAGGUCUUCUUCAAUAUACUCAAACUCCACGCCCUUUAGUUUCAGAGCCCAUAUAACUCUGUAACUAAAAGGGCUAGCCCAGAAACCAUGCAGCUUCACAUCUGCCAUUGUUGCAAUAAGAUCAGUAUGCAAGGUCUACUGCUGUGGCAAGUCUUCUUAUUGCCACUCUUGGCUUGGGCAAUAAGUUUUGGAUGCAAGAAACAUUUUUUUAUAUUACAAGUAUUGACUUGACUUGGUCCAUAACUUUGAUUCCGAUUUUUUUUUAAUUUAACUUGGACAUCGUAAUUUGCAAGUAAUCCGUACGAUGAAUUUUUAUUUAUUUUUUUGGGUCACGGUGUGCAGUUUAUUACUUUAUUUUCCUUGCAAGAAACACUGACUACUCUGUAGAAAGUUACAUUCUUUGAACGUAUUCAUGCCUAGCCUUCGGAUUAGGUGGUGGAACCUGACAUGCCUACCAAUAUCACGAUGUUAUUGAAUUAAGACAAGCAGAAAUAAACUAUCCGAUUUGACAACCUUUUUCUUUUGUUAACCUCUGCCAAAUAAUCGAUUAUCUGAAUUGAUCACUAAUUAACUACAAACUAAAUUUUUUAAUAUUAAUGGUUGUAAUUUAACUUGUAAAAUUUUGAAUUUGUUUUUUUUAAGUUUAUUAAGUGUUAUAAAUUUUAAGUUCAUUAAAAAUUUACUUUAUUAAUUUUAGAGUCUUUUAAAAUUAGUUGAAGCACUCGUAAGCUGACUCAAAUACUCACGAUUAACAAAAUAUAUAUAUAUAUAUAUAUAUGCUGAAAUUAUUUUGCACUUCUUUUUAAUUUAUUGGAAUUGAAGUAGUAUAUUUUUAAUAAUUUUUAUUUUGAUAUUUAAAUUUUUAUUUUGUGCAAUUUACUUUUUGCAAGUACAAAUUAACUUUUAAUUACAUAUUUUUAAAGGAAAAAAAAAAGUUGAAUUUAAAUAUAGCAAACUAAAGCAAAAAUCUCGGUGAUAUGGCGGCAGCAGUUAAAAAUUUAUUAAAAUAUUUAUCUUAAUUCUCUCAUGUUUUUUAGAUAUUGAUGACCAAUGUUUUAAAUUUAAAGACAAUACAUUUUGGUAUCUACUUUAUUUUCUCUUUUCUAUUGUUUUCUAUGGGAGGAGAGAGAAAGAGCUGUCGAAUUCCAACUUAGAUAUAGAAAGUUGUCGUUGUGGAAGAUUCUAACAGCCAAAACGAUUGAUUUUUAGGUCAAAAUAUUUCAUAUAAUGAGAGGGUUAUGUUUGGGUGUUUGUUUACCUUGAAAACACCUCAAGCAACAAAUUUAAGCUCAUGAAGAAUUUUAUUUUCUUGUGUGUUUUAGGUUUUGUGGUGGUUUAUUAGAUUUCUGGAGAUCAUGAAUUGGUUUAAUAAGAUUUCUAGAGUAUUUUCAAUAUGUUUUGAGUCAAAAUAAGUUAAAAAAGAGAUUUUGGAUGAAAAAACAAAGGAUCUCAUUUUUCUAGCUACCAUAGUGGUCGGAUUAUAUGUUUCACAGGUGAAACGUCUUUGUAUAUAUAUAUAAUUGAAACGGACAACACUUUAUUCACCUAGAGUCUUUUAAAAUUAGUUGAAGCACUCGUAAGCUGACUCAAAUACUCACGAUUAACAAAAUAUAUAUAUAUAUAUAUAUGCUGAAAUUAUUUUGCACUUCUUUUUAAUUUAUUGGAAUUGAAGUAGUAUAUUUUUAAUAAUUUUUAUUUUGAUAUUUAAAUUUUUAUUUUGUGCAAUUUACUUUUUGCAAGUACAAAUUAACUUUUAAUUACAUAUUUUUUAAAGGAAAAAAAAAGUUGAAUUUAAAUAUAGCAAACUAAAGCAAAAAUCUCGGGUGAUAUGGCGGCAGGUUAAAAAUUUCAUUAAAACAUUUAUCUUAAUUCUCUCAUGUUUUUUAGAUAUUAGAUGACCAAUGUUUUAAAUUUAAAGACAAUACAUUUUGGUAUCUAACUUUAUUUUUCUCUUUUCUAAUUGUUUUCUAUUGGGAGGAGAGAGAAAGAGCUGUCGAAUUCCAACUUAAAUAUAGAAAGUUGUCGUUGUGGAAGAUUCUAACAGCCAAAACGAUUGAUUUUUAGGUCAAAAUAUUUCAUAUAAUGAGAGGGUUAUGUUUGGGUGUUUGUUUACCUUGAAAACACCUCAAGCAACAAAUUUAAGCUCAUGAAGAAUUUUAUUUUCUUGUGUGUUUUAGGUUUUGUGGUGGUUUAUUAGAUUUCUGGAGAUCAUGAAUUGGUUUAAUAAGAUUUCUAGAGUAUUUUCAAUAUGUUUUGAGUCAAAAUAAGUUAAAAAAGAGAUUUUGGAUGAAAAAACAAAGGAUCUCAUUUUUCUAGCUACCAUAGUGGUCGGAUUAUAUGUUUCACAGGUGAAACGUCUUUGUAUAUAUAUAUAAUUGAAACGGACAACACUUUAUUCACCUAGAGUCUUUUAAAAUUAGUUGAAGCACUCGUAAGCUGACUCAAAUACUCACGAUUAACAAAAUAUAUAUAUAUAAUAUCUGAAAUUAUUUUGCACUUCUUUUAAUUUAUUGGAAUUGAAAGUAGUAUAUUUUUAAUAAUUUUUAUUUUGAUAUUUAAAUUUUUAUUUGUGCAAUUUACUUUAAGUACAAAUUAACUUAUACAUAUUUUUUAAAGGAAAAAAAAGUUGUUUAAUAUAGCAAACUAAAGCAAAAAUCUCGGUGAUAUAUCGGCAUUAAAAAUUUAAUUUAUCUUAAUUCUCUCAUGUUUUUUAGAUAUUAGAUGACCAAUGUUUUAAAUUUAAAGACAAUACAUUUUGGUAAUCAUAACUUUAUUUUCUCUAUAUUAUUGUUCAAGGAGAGAGAAAGAGCUGUCGAAUUCCAACUUAGAUAUAGAAAGUUGUCGUACAGCCAAACGAUUGAUUUUUAGUCAAUAAUAUAAUGAGGGGUUAUGUGGUGUUUGUUUACCUUGAAAACACUCAAGCAACAAAUUUAAGCUCAUGAAGAAUUUUAUUUUCUUGUGUGUUUUAGGUUUUGUGGUGGUUUAUUAGAUUUCUGGAGAUCAUGAAUUGGUUUAAUAAGAUUUCUAGAGUAUUUUCAAUAUGUUUUGAGUCAAAAUAAGUUAAAAAAGAGAUUUUGGAUGAAAAAACAAAGGAUCUCAUUUUUCUAGCUACCAUAGUGAUCGGAUUAUAUGUUUCACAAGUGAAACGUCUUUGUAUAUAUAUAUAAUUGAAACGGACAACACUUUAUUCACCUAGUUAAACUAUUUUGAAAAAUAAAGGCCUGAGUGCGGGUCGUUGCUUUAUUAGGCCAUGCACUAGGCCUGACCUUGUUCUUUUUAAAAAAAAAAUAAUUUUUAAAAAAAUAAUAAAUUAUUCGUGUAUAUUUUUUCAAAUAAAUUUUGGGUUUAUAUUUAAAAAGAUUGUGACUGUUUUAAAAUGAUAUUUGGUGUGUUUAAUUUUUAGAGAGAUAAGUAUGAUUCAUUCGUGAUUUUUUUCUUAAUUUUAUAUAAAUUAAGUUUGUUUUUUUUUAAUAUGAUUUUUUUGUAGGAUUUUUUAUACGUGUAGCCUUGCAUUGUUUUUUUAAUUAUUGUUUUUGUUUUACAAAUUUAUUUUGAUAAAGGAAUUCAUUAGAUAUAAUCACGUAAAUUACUCUUAUUGCAAUGUUAGAUAUCUUGAUUUUUAUUUUUAGCUUGGUUUUUUCAAUUUUAUUUUUGUCCAUUGUUGAUUAUUUUUUUUUCAUUGCUUUACAUAAUAGUUACUGGAUUAUUUAAUUAGAUGCAUGCUUAGGUUAUUUGAUUUACACUUAGGAGUUUUUUUAGUAUAAAAAAAAACGUUGAAGAACUCUGUAUAAAUUUUAUUUAUGUUUUGAUGUUUAUUCUUAUGAUUUUUAAUUUUUUUUCUUUGAAUUUUUUAUAGAAGUUUCAUUGUUUUUAGUUUCAUUACUCAAUCCAAGUUUAUAAUUUAUUAUUUUUUUUAUCUUUUUACUUUUGAUUUUUGUUCUUUUAUUAAUGUUUUUAUUCUCUUCAAUUUAGCUCUCAAAACUAAAAUCCGUUGUUUCCUUUUGAUUUAUUUUAUUGUAAUUUUAACACUUAUUGUUUUUAUUUUGGAUUUUUUGUGUUUUUUUUUUGUGAUAUAGUUUUUUUGGUUUUAUAACCCAGGUCAUGGUUUAAAAAGUUAGCAGUAAUUAACUUUUUUUUAUCUUAUUUGUUUAUAUUCAUAUUUUUUUAUAUUUUUUUCUAUAAAAUUAUCAUAUUAUCAUUUAAUUUUUAUCUUGUUAACAAAUAAAAUCAUUGAGAUGUUUUUGGAAUAUUGUGAAGAUAUAUUUUUAUAAUAUUGGUAAGUGUUUAUUUUUUGCAUUGAAUUGUUAUUUUUUUUGUUUUAUUUAUUGUGAAUAUCUUAUUUUUUAAUAAUAUUAUUUAAUUAACAAAGUUUAUUACACUCAUUCAAGCCAAUUUUUUAAAUAUUAUAUUUAUUUUUGUUUUGUUUUAUUUUAUUUUAUUUCAUAUUUUUUACACCAAAACAAAAUUGAUGGCGGUUUUAGUUUUGGUGCCCAGAUAACCCGCUGGUUGAAUGGACUUGGACUCAACCUGAAUAACUUCAUAUCUACCAUACUGAUAACUGAACUAUGACUUGUGUUCAACAAAUGAGGGCUUUAAAUUAUUCAUUGCAGAUUUUUUUUUCUUUUUUUUAUUGCAGUCUUUUCUUCCUGGUUGUCCAAAUAAAUGGAAAAUUAAAAAUUAUUGACUCCACAACACAAAAGGUCUUGCUUAGAUAACCCUGGUUAGAAGAAAAAUACAUCCAGCGUUCUCUUGGUCCAUUCCUGGAUAACACAAAGAUCAUGGCCUUCAUUAAUGAGUUUAAGAGUGUGUUUAUUUUUUUAAAAGUGAUUUUCAAGAAAUUAUUUUCAAAAAAAAUUUGUAUUUAUUUAUUAUUGAAAAAAUUAAUUAAUGAAAAACAUUUUUCAAUUAUAUAAAAAUUUAACUCGAUUUUCAGAAAAGUACUUUCAUUUUAUUUUGAAAGAAAAACACUUUUUUAAAUUGUAAAAUAUUUAAAAAUAUCAUAAUAUUUACUAAUUAUAUCAAAUAUGAUCGUAUCUUCAUUUAAUUACUAACCUAUAAUUAGUAUAUUUUGUAAAUUGAAAUUUUAGCUUUAGUACCUUUCUCAAAGACAAGUCUACUUCGUCUUUCAUGAUCUAGCCAUUAUGAGAUUGGCUUUCUCAAAAAACUGGUGCUGUACGGAACCAAAAGAUCACGAAGUAACGAUACUCAUGACACAAACAAUGGCAUGAAUGCAACUUCUUGACCCAUUUUCCAAUGUGGGUAUUCAUGUUUCUUGAUUUUGUGAAAUCAUAAAUGUCGCAACCCGGAAAAAGAUUUUUAUAUAAUUAUAAAGUUUAAGAGUAAUGAUCUAAAAUUAUGAAUACUAUAAAAUUUAUUAAUCUACGAGAGACUUGUUAUGUAAAACAAAGAUGCAUCACCCCCUCCCCUGGAAAACAGAUUUAUUGAACCUUGAGUGAAUUUGGAAAUAGCUCUAAUCUCAGGAUUACUGUCAGUUAAUGUUGAUGUAAACUAGAUGAACCCUCAUUAUGGUACUUCGGCUAAAUGUUUAUACGAAAUCCACAUACAAAUUCAUUAGCACUGUUAUAUCCAGCCGAUUUGUUUUCCGAGUGAUAUGGGCUCUGAAAAUGAAGGGCAUUCCAUACGAGUACAUAGAAGAAGAUGUUACCAACAAAGGUCCUCUGCUUCUGAAGAAGAACCCUGUUCUUAAGAAGAUCCCAGUGCUUCUCCAUGGCGAAAAACCAGUUUGCGAGUCCAUGAUUAUUGUCGAAUACAUCGAUGAGAUAUGGCCCCAAAAUCCCUUGUUGCCCAAUGACCCUUACGAGAGAGCUCCGGCUCGUUUCUGGGUCAAAUUUACCGACGAUAAGGUAAAGAGUACAUGCAUCAUUUUACAUAUAAUAUUACUAUGAAACCGAGUUCUGGGCUUUAAAAAGAAAUUGGUUUCUGCUGAUUUGGUUAGUUCAUGAUCGAUGAUGAAUCAUUAGGUUGACUUGCCGAGCAGUUCUGAUAAAAUUGAUUAAGGGAAAAAAAGUAAAUGGAAAGGAAUAUAAAAGAAAUACAACAGUGUUUACACACCAAAUUAACCGAAAUUAAUGCAAUAGCUGCAUCAACCAUUAUGGAGUAUUACAGUAGAAAAACAAACUCAACUGCAAGAGAAAAACCAUCCAUGGAAACGAAAAGGUGAGGCAUACAUGGAUUAUUUCGCAUCCAAAAGCAUAAUAUAGGCUACUUGUUCGUCUUUUUCUCCCUGACACUUUUCAUAUGGAGGAGCAUCUUAUCAUAGUCGGGAAUGUUUUCUUUAAUCAGAGGAACUUCAAUGAAAUUCUGGGCCCAAGCAUGCAAUCGAGGCAGUGUGCUUGGUUCAAGAACUUUCACACCCGCUGCUUCUUCAAUGGCUGCAAACCAAUAAGCGAAGAGUCCAUAUGAGAUGUCAACUAGAUUUAUGCUGUCACCGCCAAAAAACUUCUUGUCCCCGAGACCUUGCUCUUCUAAGACUCUCAACACUUCCGCCAUUUCUUUCACUGCCUUCUCUAGCUCCUCUCCACUAGCUCGGAAAAAGGCACCAAAGGCAGCACCCUAAAUUAUGAAAGAAUUGAAUUUACAAGUCACAGAACAGAGAUAAAUGAAUAGAUAUUUGAAGGUGUUUAGCCUGAGGAGAGUAAAAAUAAAGGAAGGCAAGUUAUGAGAAAUUUUUAAUUAUUAUUCCACUUUAAGAACAAGGAGAAGAAAAUGUUUUAUGGAAUCGAUUGUUUUUUUCCAGGACUGCUACCAGAUCAAAUUAAACAUUGUGGGCCUCAUGAACAGUUACAAAAUAUAUACAAGAAGAUGGAUCUCGUUACCUUGGUACCUCCAUAUUGAAUCCAAAACCGAGCCAUGGCUCUCUCGUAAGGAUCAGUCGGUAGCAGUGGAUUCUCCGGCCAUGUUUCCUCGAUGUAUUCAAGGAUAACAAGAGACUCCGCAAUCGGCUUGCCACCAUGGACGAGUACAGGGAUUUUCUUGUAAACUGGGUUAUACUUCAAUAGCAGUUCACUUUUAUUGGUGAGGUCUUCUUCAAUAUACUCAAACUCCACGCCCUUUAGUUUCAGAGCCCAUAUAAUUCUGUAACUAAAAGGGCUAGCCCAGAAACCAUGCAGCUUCACAUCUGCCAUCGUUCCAAUGAGAUCAGAAUGCAAGGUCUCCUGCUGUGCCGAGUCCUCUUAUAGCGUCUUUUGGCUUGGGCAACAAGUAUUGGAUGCAAGAAACAUUUUUUUAUAUUGCAAGUAUUGACUUGACUUGGUCCAUAACUUUGAUUCCGAUUUUUUUUUAAUUUAACUUGGACAUCGUAAUUUGCAAGUAAUCCGUACGAUGAUUUUUUUUUUUUUUUGGGUCACGGUAUGCAGUUUAUUACUUUAUUUUCCUUUCAAGAAACUCUGACUACUCUGUAGAAAGUCACAUUCUUUGAACGUAUUCAUGCCUAGCCUUCGGAUUAGGUGGUGGAACCUGACAUGCCUACCAAUAUCACGAUGUUAUUGAAUUAAGAAAAGCAGAAAUAAACUAUCCGAGUUGCAACCUUUUUCUUUUGUUAACCUCUGCCAAAUAAUCCAUCGACUAUCUGAUUGAUCACUAAUUAACUACAAACUAAAUUUUUUAAUAUUGAUGAUUUGUAGUUUAACUUGUAAAAUUUUGAAUUUGUUUUUUUAAAGUUUAUUUAAUGUUAUAAAUUUUGAAAUUACUAAAAAUUUAUCUUAUUAAUUUUAUAGUAUCAUGACAUUAGUUAAAACGCUUCUAAACAAACUUAAAUACUCACGGUUAUAUAUAUAUAUAUAUAUAUAUAUAUAUAUAUAUAUAUUAUCUUUCUAAUAUGCUGAAAUUAUUUGCACUUCUUUAUAAUUUAUUGGAAUUGAAGUAGUGUAUUUUUAAUAAUUUUUAGUUUGAUAUUUAAAUUUUUAUUUUGUGCAAUUUACUUUUCUCAAGUACAAAUUAACUUUUAAUUACAUAUUUUUUAAAGGAAAAAAAAAGUUGAAUUUAAAUAUAGCAAACUAAAGCAAAAAUAUAGAGUGAUAUGGCUACAGAUUAAAAAUUUUAUUAAAACAUUUAUUUUAAUUCUCUCAUGUUUUUUAGAUAUUAGAUGACCAAUGUUUUAAAUUUAAAGACAAUAUAUUUUGAUAUCUAACUUUAUUUUUCUCUUUUGUGUAGUUGUUUUCUACUGGGAGGAAAGAGAAAGAGCUGUCGAAUUCUAACUUAGAUAUAGAAAGUUGUCACUAUGGAAGAUUCUAAUAGCCAAAAUGAUUGAUUUUUAGGUCAAAAUAUUUCAUAUAAUGAGAGGGUUAUGUUUAGGUGUUUGUUUACCUUAAAAACACCUCAAGCAACAAAUUUAAGUUCAUGAAGAAUUUUAUUUUCUUGUGUUUUUAGGUUUUGUGGUGAUUUAUUAGGUUUCUGGAGAUCAUGAAUUAGUUUAAUUUAAUUUUUCUAGAGUAUUUUCAAUAUGUUUUGAGUCAAAAGAAGUUGAAAAGAAGAUUUUGGAUGAAAAAACAAAGGACCUUAUUUUUAUAGCCACCAUAGUGAUCCGAUUAUAUGUUUCACAGGUGAAACGUCUUUAUAUAUAUAUAAUUGAAACGGACAACAUGUUGUUCACCUAGUUAAACUCUUUUAAAAAAUAAAGGCCUGUGUGCGGGCCGUUGCUUUAUUAGGCCAUGUACUAGGCCUAACCUUGUUCUUUUUAAAAAGAAAAUUUAGUUUUUUAAAAAAUAAUAAAUUAUUUGCGUGUAUUUUUUCAAAUAAAUUUUGGGUUUAUAUUUUAAAAAGAUUGUGACCAUUUUAAAAUGAUAUUGGGUGUGUUAAAUUUUUUUUUAGAGAGAUGAGUAUGAUUCAUCCGUGAUUUUUUUUUCUAAAUUUUAUAUAAAUUAAGUUUGUUUUUUUUAAUAUGAUUUUUUAUAAGAUUUUUUUAUAUGUAUAGCCUUGCAUUGUUUUUUUUAAUUAUUAUUAAGUAAAUUUUAUGUGUGUGUCGAUUUCUAUUAUAAAAUUUAUGUGUUUUUGUUUUACAAAUUUAUUUUGAUAAAGGAAUUCAUUAGAUAUAAUCAAGUAAAUUACUCUUAUUGCAAUGUUAGAUAUCUUGAUUUUUAUUUUUAGCUUGGUUUUUUCAAUUUUAUUUUUGUCCAUUGUUGAUGAUUUUUUUUUCAUUGCUUUACAUAAUAGUUACUAGAUUAUUUAAUUAGAUACAUGCUUAGGUUAUUUGAUUUACACCUAGGAGUUUUUUUAGUAUAAAAAAACACAUUGAAGAACUCUGUAUACAUUUUAUUUAUGUUUUGAUGUUCAAGAUUUGAUGUUUAUUCUUAUGAUUUUUAAAUUUUUUUUCUUUGAAUUUUUUAUGGAAGUUUCAUUGUUUUUAGUUUUAUUAUUCAAUCAAAGUUUAUAAUGUAUUGUUUUUUUAUGUUUUUUUUUUAUCUUUUUACUUUUGAUUUUUGUUCUUUUAUUAAUGUUUCCAUUCUCUUCAAUUUAGCUCUCAAAACUAAAAUCUGUUGUUGCCUUUUGAUUUAUUUUAUUGUAAUUUUAACACUUAUUGUUUUUAUUUUGGAUUUUUUGUGUUUUUUUUUUUGUGAUAUAGUUUUUUUUGGUUUUAUAACCCGAGUCAUGGUUUAAAAAGUUAGCAGUAAUUAACUUUUUUUUAUCUUAUUUGUUUAUAUUCAUAUUUUUUAUAUUUUUUUCUAUAAAAUUAUCAUAUUCUCAUUUAAUUUUUAUUUUGUUAACAAAUAAAAUCAUUGAGAUGUUUUUGGAAUAUUGUGAAGAUAUAUUUUUAUAAUAUUGGUAAGUGUUUAAUUUUUGCAUUGAAUUGUUAUUUUUUUUGUUUUAUUUAUUGUCAAUAUCUUAUUUUUUAAUAAUAUUAUUAAAUUAAAAAAAUUUAUUAAACUCAUUCAAGCCAAUUUUUUAAAUAUUAUAUUUAUUUUUGUUUUGUUUUGUUUUGUUUUAUUUUAUUUUUUCAUAUUUUUGACACCAAAACAAAAUUGAUGGCGGUUUUAGUUUUGGUGCCCAGAUAACCCGCUGGCUGAAUGGGCUUGAACUCAACCCUAAUAACUUUAUAUCUACCAUAUUGAUAACUGAACUGUGACUUGUGUUCAACGAAUGAGGGCUUUAAAUUAUUCAUUACAGACUUUUUUUUUCUUUUUCUCUUUUUAUUGCAGACUUUUCUUCCUGGCUGUCCAAAUAAAUGGAAAAUUAAAAUUUAUCAACUCCACAACACAAAAGGUCUUGCUUAGAUAACCCUGGUUAGGAGAAAAAUACAUUUCAGCGUUCUCUUGGUCCAUUCCUGGAUAACACAAAGAUGAUGGCCUUCAUCAACGAGUCUAAGGGUGUGUUUAUUUUUUUAAAAGUUAUUUUUAAGAAAUUUUUUUUAAUUUUUUUGUAUUUAUUUGUUAUUAAAAAAGUUGGUGAAUGAAAAACACUUUCCGAUCAUAUAAAAAUUUAGCUAGAUUUUCAGAAAAGUAUUUUCAUUUUAUUUUGGAAGAAAAACACUUUUUAUAAGUUGUAAAAUAUUUAAAAAUAUCAUAUUAUUUACUGAUUAUAUCAAAUGUGAUCCAAUCUUCACUUAAUUACUAACCUAUAAUUAGUAUAUUUUGUAAAUUGAAAUUUUAGCUUUAGUACCUUUCUCAAAGACAAGACUACUUUUUUUAUUUAUUUACGUGGGUGUCCGGGCCAACUUGUGCGCACCACGACUAAUCUCACGGCCCACUGAACAUCCUACAAGCCCAGUGAGCAUAUAAAACACCACGGAGGUGACAUGCGUGCACAAUGAGACUUGAACCCUGGUGCAGAGGAAGGGAACAAGUCCCUUCUACUACUAGGCCAAGACCUCAAGUGCAUACAAGACUACUUCUUCAUGAUCUGGCCAUUAUGAGAUUGGCUUUCUCAAAAAACUGGUGUUGUACGGAACUAAAAGAUCACGAAUUAACGAUAUUCAUGAUACAAACAAUGGCAUGAAUGCAACUUCUUGAUCCAUUAUCCAAUGUGGGUAUUCAUGUUUCUUGAUUUUGUGAAAUCAUAAAUGUCGCAACCCGGAAAAAGAUUUUUAUAUAAUUAUAAAGUUUAAGAGUAAUGAUCUAAAAUUAUGAAUACUAUAAAAUUUAUUAAUCUACGAGAGACUUGUUAUGUAAAACAAAGAUGCAUCACCCCCUCCCCUGGAAAACAGAUUUAUUGAACCUUGAGUGAAUUUGGAAAUAGCUCUAAUCUCAGGAUUACUGUCAGUUAAUGUUGAUGUAAACUAGAUGAACCCUCAUUAUGGUACUUGGGCUAAAAGUUUAUACGAAAUCCACAUACAAAAUCAUUAGCACUGUUAUUCUAUUCUGGGUGUCCCAUUCAAAGCAGACCCCUCCCUGUCCAACCAAAACGCCCUCCUGGUUCUUCUGUUUACCUUUCUUGGCUGUCAAGAGGCGUGGCAAAGAAGAUUAGCAUUGAUACCGUCAUGCAUGGCGUAUAUCUAAACGGCAACUUCCAGGAGAUGAUAUGUAUGGUCAACAUUAUUAACAUUAAUAAUGCUUAUUUAACCCAGAAAAUCAUGAAGUAAAUCGCAAACCGUGAGAAAUUGCUGAGAAACUUCUACAGAAAAAGAAAGAACAUGCAUCGCAUUAAUUAUUGCAUUUCUUAUCUCCAUAGUCAAGUCUUCUUUCGACAGAGAAUUGAAGUGAAUAUGAUUAUGUAAGCAAAUAUAUCAAUAAUGGAGGAAGUAAACCUUCUUUUCGAGGUAUAUCCCUUUCAUUAACUAAAUUAUUUUGAAUUUGCUGACCCAUCACACAGAAGCAAAGGCAAAAGAAUAUUGAUGGUCGGAAGUCUGUUUACAUUGUAUUAAAAUAAUUUUUUUUUCUUUUAAAAAAAUAUAUUUAACUUUGGAUCAUCAAAAUAAUAUAAAAAUAUAAAAAAAUAAUUUUUUUAAAAGUACGUCUGAAAUGCAUUCGCGGCCGCCCUCGAUAGCAAAUGUGUACUGCCCACAGCCCAAGCAAGACUCUUUCAUUAAAAAUCAGCACUAUAAAUGACAAUGGCAGGUAAAGAACAGUCACCGUACAAAUCCCUUGGUCAUGGCGGAGGUAGUGAAGCUGCUCGGAGCAUUGUCCAGCCCAUUUGUUUUCCGAGUGAUAUGGGCUCUAAAAAUGAAGGGCAUUCCAUAUGAGUUCAUAGAAGAAGAUGUUACCAGCAAAAGUCCUCUGCUUCUGAAGAAGAACCCUGUUCUUAAGAAGAUCCCAGUGCUUCUCCAUGGCGAAAAACCAGUUUGCGAGUCCAUGAUUAUUGUCGAAUACAUUGAUGAGAUAUGGCCCCAAAAUCCCUUGUUGCCCAAUGACCCUUACGAGAGAGCUCUGGCUCGUUUCUGGGUCAAAUUUACCGGCGAUAAGGUAAAGAGUACAGGCAUCAUUUUACAUUACAUCAAAUAUUACUAUGAAACCGAGUUCUGGGCUUUAAAAAAAAACUGGUUUCUGCUGAUUUGGUUAGUUCAUGAUCAAUGAUGAAUCAUUAGGUUGACUUGCCGAGCUGUUCUGAUAAAAUUGAUUAACGGAAAGAAAGUAAAUGGAAAGGAAUAUAAAAGAAAUACAACAGUGUUUACACACCAAACCGAAAUUAAUGCAAUAGCUGCAUCAACCAUUAUGGAGUGUAUUACAGUAGAAAAACAAGCUCAACUACAAGAGAAAAACCAUCCAUGGAAACGAAAAGGCGAGGCAUACAUGGAAUAUUUCGCAUCCAAAAGCAUAAUCUAGGCUACUUGUUCAUCAUUUUCUCCCUGACACUUUUCAUAUGGAGGAGCAUCUUAUCAUUGUCAGGAAUGUUUUCUUUAAUCAGAGGAACUUCAAGGAAAUUCUGGGCCCAAGCAUGCAAUCGAGGCAGUGUGCUUGGUUCAAGAACUUUCACACCCGCUAGUUCUUCAAUGGCUGCAAACCAAUAAGCGAAGAGUCCAUAUGAGAUGUCAACUAGAUUUAUGCUGUCACCGCCAAAAAACUUCUUGUCCCCGAGACCUUGCUCUUCUAAGACUCUCAACACUUCCACCACUUCUUUCACUGCCUUCUCUAGCUCCUCUCCACUAGCUCGGAAAAGGGCAACCAAGGCAGCACCCUAAAUUAUGAAAGAAUUCAAUUUACAUGUCACAGAACAGAGAUAAAUGAAUAGAUAUUUGAAGGUGUUUAGCCUGAGGAGAGUAAAAAUAAAAGAAGGCAAGUUGUGAUAAAUUUUUAAUUAUUAUUCCACUUUAAGAACAAGAAGAAGAAAAUGUUUUUUUGGAAUCAAUUGUUUUUUCCAGGACUGCUACCAGAUCAAAUUAAACAUUGUGGGCCUCAUGAACAGUUACAAAAUAUAUACAAGAAGAUGGAUCUUGUUACCUUGGUAGCUCCAUAUUGAAUCCAAAACCGAGCCAUGGCUCUCUCGUAAGGAUCAGUCGGUAGCAGUGGAUUCUCCGGCCAUGUUUCCUCAAUGUAUUCAAGGAUAACAAGAGACUCCGCAAUCGGCUUGCCACCAUGGACGAGUACAGGGAUUUGCUUGUAAACUGGGUUAUACUUCAAUAGCAGUUCACUUUUAUUGGUGAGGUCUUCUUCAAUAUACUCAAACUCCACGCCCUUUAGUUUCAGAGCCCAUAUAACUCUGUAACUAAAAGGGCUAGCCCAGAAACCAUGCAGCUUCACAUCUGCCAUCGUUCCAAUGAGAUCAGAGUGCAAGGUCUCCUGCUGUGACGAGUCCUCUUAUAGCGACUUUUGGCUUGGGCAACAAGUACUGGAUGCAAGAAACAUUUUUUUAUAUUGCAAGUAUUGACUUGACUUGGUCCAUAACUUUGAUUCUGAUUUUUUUUAGAUCUGUUUGUUUGCAGGAAUUUUUUUUGAAAAAUAAAUUUUGAAAAAAGUGAAUUCUAGAAAAGUAAAUUUCGAGAAAGUAUUUUUCGAUGUUUGGUAGUGUAAUGAAAAACGAACUGGAAAACACUUUUCAGUUUUUUGUUAUGUUAUGGAAAAUAAAUUGGAAAAUAAUUUAUUAAUGAAUUAAAUUUUUUUUUUAAAGUUAUCUAAUAUAUGAAAAAUAUUAAAUAUAAAUAUUUAAUCUAUUAAUUUUAUAAAAUAUAACUAUAUAUGUCAUAUAAUAUUAUAGAGAUAUAACCUUGUGAAAUUUUUCAUAAAUAAAACCUAUUAAUUAUUUUUUUUCAAUUUUAAAAGCUUAAAAUAUGUUUUUUUUUCAUAUGAAUAAAGCCAAAUUAGUUUAUAAUGGUUAUGGAAAUGAUAUCUGAUUCCCUAAACAAAUAAGGUCUUAAAAUAUAUUAUUUAAGAUCAUAAAAUUCAAUUUCUCGAUGAUAAAACCGUUUUGAAAAUUAUACAAUUCAUAAGUUCACAAUAAUCAAUAGACAUUGCACAAUGAAAUCCAUAUAAUUACCGGUAUAGACCCACAAAUUUAUUCAUAUGUAACAAAUAUAAUCAAACACUAAUCAUAUAUUAAUCAAAGCAAAUUAAAACACAUAUUUAUGUUUAUUCUUCUGUUAUAAUUCCUCUUAUUAAUGUAACAUGUAUUUAAACAUCCCCACUUCCCUUGUUUUGCAGGUUAAAACUCUCAUCAUCUCUUGCAUUUCCCUUACAAACACGCAACCUUCCCCAUGUUUUGCAGGUGCUCAUGAGACUAAAUUCAAUGGCUACCUUCAACGGCUUAAUCUACAAAGCCUAGUAAUCAGCCAUGAAAAGACCCAUAAUCCUUCAAAGCUUCCUUCCUUUGACUUCACAAGUAUAAAAUUAAACUUAUAAUUCCAUUCCCCUCUCCCAUUCCCCCCCUCUCUUGAUCGAUUCCCCUCUCCCAUUCCCCUGUUCCCUCUCCCCCUCCCUCUCGGUCGAUUCCCCGUGUUCCCUCUCCCUCUCAGUCGAUUCCCUUCUCGGUUUCUCUCAUUCCCCUUCCCUUAUUCCCUCUCCCAGGGGCAACAGGGCUCCUAUUUCCCAGUUCUCCUCCCUCCCUCCCCCGGCUACUGUUAAAAAAAAGACAGAGAGCAAGGGUUGAUUUUCAACACUUCCACUCGGGAUAUGGUGGCUGGAUCCGGGGAUGGGGUAACAGGGAGGGGAUUCUUUUUGCUAUGGAAGAUUGAUUAACACAGUUCGGGGAUUUUCAAGUGCCUCUCUUCGUGCACUUGAUUUGGUUUGUCUGGUUAGAAUAAAACUGCUGAAUGUGAGUGAUGAAGAAGAAAACUGUCAUGGAAAAAUUGUGUUUUUUGUGGCUUGCUUGAUGAAUUUUAGUUGUGUUAUGGAAAACAUAUGAUAGGUAGCAGAUGCUUCUACAAUAGUUCCUGCUUCCAAUCGUUUUUGAAGAGAGAGAGACCGUGAUUUACGAAAAUGAGUGUAAUGAAAAAAAAAAAGUGUUUUCCUUUCUUUAUCAGAAGGAAAAUACUUUCCUUUGAUAAAACAACUUUUUUAUGUUGAUGGGAUUAAGAUUUUAUUGAUUAUUUUUUCAUAUUGUUACCAAACAUGAAAAAAUAAGGAAAAUAAAUUUUAGGAAUUCGUUUUCCUUGAAACAAACAAGGACUUAAUUUAACUUAUACAUCGUAAUUUGCAAGUAAUUCAUACGAUGAACUUGUUUUUUUUUUUUUGUCACGGUGUGCAGUUUAUUUUCCUUACAAGUUGCAAGAAACACUGACUAGUCUGUAGAAAGUUACAUUCUUUGAACGUGUUCAUGCCUAGCCUUCGGAUUAGGUGGUGGAUAUGGACACACGUAGUCAUGAACCUGUCUGGCUUUCGAACUUCGAAGAAAUCUCAGUGCCCAUCUCCAAGACCUGACAUGCCUAUCACUAGGGGUGUGCAAAAAAACUGGAAAACCGAAUAAACCGAGAAAACAAAAAAAAAUUAACUGAAAAAACCGAACCGAAAAAAAAAACACUGAUUAAACCGAUUAUAAUAGUUAGAAAAAAUCCCGGUUCAAUUCGGUUUUCAGUUUUGUAAUGCAGGAACCGGUUAACCCGGACCGAACCGAACCAGUUCAAAUAAAAAAAAUGGUACUAUAAAUACCUUCCAAACCCAUCUACAGUUCUACAUUUCAGUCUCUUCUUCUAAGUUUCUAACCUAGCCCCCCCUCACUCCCUCUUGAUUAAAUCUUCAUCUACUCUAUUCUCUCCCACCUUCAGUCUCUUCUUCUAACCUAGCAAACCUAGCUGCCGCCCCCCCCUCACUCCCUCUUGAUCAAAUCUUCAUCUCUAUUCUCUCUCAUCUAAAUAUAUGCUUUGUAGCUUCUUGUUCUAACCCUAGCAAAUCUAGCCGCCGCCCCUCCCUCUUGUUCAAUCUCUCGAUCAGAUCUUAAUCUCUCCCAUAUAAAGAUCUACUUUUUAGUUUCCUCUUCCAACCCUAGCAAACCCAGUCGCCGCCCCCUCCCUCUUAUUCAAUCUCUCAAUCAAAUCUUCAUCUCUCAAUUAUCUGUCUCUAAAUCAAAAUUAGCAGUCGUUCCUUCAAGUUCUUUGUCUCUCCAAGUUGGAUGACAAAUUUGAUGCUUUCUAUUUUCUUUUCUAAAUUGUUUUUUUUUUUAGUUUUUAUCAGUUUAUAUUAACCUAUUUUGUUAAACUUUUCAGGUGAACUAUUCAAGAGAACCAGAUGCACUUUUAAUGUCCAUGUCGUGAGAAAGAUAGUUGAUGCAUUUUAUUUCAAUUUCAAGGACUCCUGCAGAUUGUAUUUCUUUAAUUUUAUUAGAGGCAUUGUUUUCUUGGUUUGUGUUAUUUUAUGUAUAAUUUUAUUUUGGAUUUUGAUUAGAGUUGAUUGGUUUGAGAAAACUACUGGGUGCAAAUUAAAAAUAUUUCGCCUAUUAUUUGAGAUAAAUCUUGGUAAAGGAAAGUAAAACAAUGAAUAUAGGUUUUUUAUAUUUGAUUAUAAAUUUACAAGCCUUUUAAAUGACCCCAUCAAAAGUCAUAAAAAGCCAAAAAAAAUUGAACUGGUUUUUCCGGUUUUUCUCUUUAAUUAACCGAACCAAACCGAAUCGAAAUUGAUCGGUUUGAACCGGUUUCGUUUUUUUAAAAAAAAAAAUAAAAUUGAUUUAGUUAUUUUUUUAAAUAAAAACCGGACUGAACCGGAAAUGCUCACCUCUACCUACCACUAUCACGAUGUUAUUGAAUGAAGAAAAGCAUAAAUAAACUAUGCCUGAUUUGACAAACUUUUUUUUUUUUAAUCCCUGCCAAACCAUCCAUCGACUAUCUGAAUUCAAAAGUAUCAGCUUUUUUAAUAUUGAUGGUUGUAAUUUCACUUGUAAAAUUUUGGAUUUUUUUUUAAAAAUUUAUUACUUCGAGUGUUAUAAAUUUUGAAAUAACUAGAAAUUUACCAUACUGAUAACUGAACUGUGACUCGUGUUCAGCAAAGGAGGGCUUUAUAUUAUUCAUUGCCGACUUUUCUUUUCCUUUUCUCUUUUUAUUGCAGACUUUUCUUCUUGGCUGUCCAGAUAAAUGGAAAAUUAGAAGAGGAGCAGUCAAAGUUAGGCUGCAUGAUUUGACGAAGGUUUUUUUCUGCCCCCUCUUAUCCAUGGCCGCCUCUGUUCAAGCUGAGAUUGCCCUUGGAAAUCCUAACUAAGAUGCACAAAUUGAAAAACUCAAUUCCAUGGCGAGUCUCCAGUUUGCUUAACUGCUUAGCUUGCUUUCAUACAGAUCACAGAGAAUUUACUCCUGGCUCUACGCACUGGUCUUUCCAACAGACAAGGAGAAAUCGAAAAACAAAUAACAAUGAUCGCAAGUUUUAUGGAUAUCACCAAAAUGAUCUAACAUCACUGGAUAUUCUAAGCUUGCAGCCUGAUUAAAAUUUAUUGACUCCACAACACGAAAGGUCUUGCUUAGAUAACCCUGGUGAGGAGAAAAAUCCAUCCAGCGUUCUCUUGGUCCAUUCAUGGAAAACACAGAGAUCUAGACUUCCAGAGAUCAUGGCCUUCAUCGACGAGUCUAGGAGAAACAUCUGCCUUGAACGUUCUAGAUGUUUAUAACUCAAAACCCUUCGAAUAAAAAACUUUUGUUAUAAAGAAGAGAUUCAAACACAAAAUAUCUUGCAGAAACCCUUUGAAUAAAAACUUUUCUUAUGAAGAUGUUCGAGCACAAAAUAUCUUGCAGAAGAGGUAAACAACAAAAGAGUUUCAAUCCUCAUGUCCACUAUAAUUAGUAUAUUUUGUAAAUUGAAAUUUUAGCUUUAGUACCUUUCUCAAAAACGAGACUACUUCUUCCUUUAUCAUGAUCUAGCCAUUAUGAGAUUGACUUUCUCAAAAGGCGUGGCAAAGAAGAUUAGCAUCGAUACCGUCAUGCAUGGCGUAUAUCAAAACGGCAACUUCCAGGAGAUGAUAUGUAUGGUCAACAUUAUUAACAUUAAUAAUGCUUAUUUAACCCAGAAAAUCAUGAAGUAAAUCGCAACCUGUGAGAAAUUGCUGAGAAACUUGUAUAGAAAAAGAAAGAACAUGCAUCGCGUUAAUUAUUGCAUUUCUUAUCUCCAUAGUCAAGUCUUCUUUCGACAGAGAAUUGAAGUGAAUAUGAUUAUGUAAGCAAAUAUAUCAAUAAUGGAGGAAGUAAAGCUUCUUUUCGAGGUAUAUCCCUUUCAUUAACUAAAUUCUUCUGAAUUUGCUGACCCAUCACACAAAAACACAGGCAAAAGAAUUUUGAUGGUCGGAAGUCUGUUUAUGUUGUAUUAAAAUAUUUUUUUUUAAAAAAUCUAUAUUUAACUUUGGAUCAUCAAAAUAAUAUAAAAAUAUAAAAAAUUAAUUUUUUUAAAAGUACCGUUUGAAAUGCAUUCGCGGCUGCCCUCAAUAGCAAAUGUGUACUGCCCACAGCCCAAGCAAGACUCUUUCAUUAAAAAUCAGCACUAUAAAUGACUAUGGCAGGUAAAGAACAAUCACCAUACAAAUCCCUUGGUCAUGGCGGAGGUAGUGAAGCUGCUCGGAGCAUUGUCCAGCCCAUUUGUUUUCCGAGUGAUAUGGGCUCUCAAAAUGAAGGGCAUUCCAUAUGAGUACAUAGAAGAAGAUGUUACCAUCAAAAGUCCUCUGCUUCUGAAGAAGAACCCUGUUCUUAAGAAGAUCCCAGUGCUUCUCCAUGGCGAAAAACCAGUUUGCGAGUCCAUGAUUAUUGUCGAAUACAUCGAUGAGAUAUGGCCCCAAAAUCCCUUGUUGCCCAAUGACCCUUACGAGAGAGCUCCGGCUCGUUUCUGGGUCAAAUUUACCGACGAUAAGGUAAAAAGAGUACAGGCAUCAUUUUACAUUACAUAAAAUAUUACUAUGAAACCGAGUUCUGGGCUUUAAAGAAAAAUUGGUUUCUGCUGAUUUGGUUAGUUCAUGAUCAAUGAUGAAUCAUUAUGUUGACUCGAGCUGUUCUAAUAAAAUUGAUUAAGGGAAAAAAAGUAAAUGGAAAGGAAUAUAAAAGAAAUACAACAGUGUUUAUACACCAUUCCGGAAUUUAAUAAAAUAGCAGCAUCAACCGACAACCAUUAUGGAUUGUUACAGUAGAAAAACAAGCUCAACUACAAGAGAAAAACCAUCCAUGGAAACGAAAAGGUGAGACAUCCAUGGAAUAUUUCGCAUCCAAAAGCAUAAUAUAGGCUACUUGUUCGUCAUUUUCUCCCUGACACUUUUCAUAUGGAGGAGCAUUUUAUCAUAGUCGGGAAUGUUUUCUUUAAUCAGAGGAACUUCAAUGAAAUUCUGGGCCCAAGCAUGCAAUCGAGGCAGUGUGCUUGGUUCAAGAACUUUCACACCCGCUGCUUCUUCAAUGGCUGCAAACCAAUAAGCGAAGAGUCCAUAUGAGAUGUCAACUAGAUUUAUGCUGUCACCGCCAAAAAACUUCUUGUCCCCGAGACCUUUCUCUUCUAAGACUCUCAACACUUCCGCCACUUCUUUCACUGCCUUCUCUAGCUCCUCUCCACUAGCUCGGAAAAGGGCACCAAAGGCAGCACCCUAAAUAAUGAAAGAAUUCAAUUUACAAGUCACAGAACAGAGAUAAAUGAAUCGAUAUUUGAAGGUGUUUAGCCUGAGGAGAAUAAAAAUAAAAGAAGGCAAGUUAUGAGAAAUUUUUAAUUAUUUUUCCACUUUAAGAACAAGAAGAAGAAAAUGUUUUCUGGAAUCGAUUGUCUUUUUCCAGGACUGCUACCAGAUCAAAUUAAUCAUUGUGGGCCUCAUGAACAGUUACAAAAUAUAUACAAGAAGAUGGAUCUCGUUACCUUGGUAACUCCAUAUUGAAUCCAAAACCGAGCCAUGGCUCUCUCGUAAGGAUCUGUCGGUAGCAGUGGAUUCUCCGGCCAUGUUUCCUCGAUGUAUUCAAGGAUAACAAGAGACUCCGCAAUCGGCUUGCCACCAUGGACGAGUACAGGGAUUUUCUUGUAAACUGGGUUAUACUUCAAUAGCAGUUCACUUUUAUUGGUGAGGUCUUCUUCAAUAUACUCAAACUCCACGCCCUUUAGUUUCAGAGCCCAUAUAACUCUGUAACUAAAAGGGCUAGCCCAGAAACCAUGCAGCUUCACAUCUGCCAUCGUUGCAAUGAGAUCAGUAUGCAAGGUCUGCUGCUGUGCCCAGUCUUCUUAUAGCGAC